AUUAAGGUCCUCUGGAUUGUAAACUUCUUUUAUAUGGGACGAAAAAAGGUCUUUCUAGACCCCUUGACGGUACCAUAUGAAUAAGCACCGGCUAACUCCGUGCCAGCAGCCGCGGUAAUACGGAGGGUGCAAGCGUUAUCCGGAUUCACUGGGUUUAAAGGGUGCGUAGGCGGGUAGGUAAGUCAGUGGUGAAAUCCUGGAGCUCAACUCCAGAACUGCCAUUGAUACUAUCUAUCUUGAAUAUUGUGGAGGUAAGCGGAAUAUGUCAUGUAGCGGUGAAAUGCUUAGAUAUGACAUAGAACACCCAUUGAGAAGGCAGCUUACUACGCAUAUUGACGC
This 339-nucleotide ribosomal RNA is filed under the name uncultured Sediminibacterium sp. RNAcentral's name for it is "bacterial SSU rRNA". It matches the Rfam family "Bacterial small subunit ribosomal RNA", at positions 408 to 746 of the family's 1533-position model. Lineage: Bacteria; Pseudomonadati; Bacteroidota; Chitinophagia; Chitinophagales; Chitinophagaceae. The record is from RNAcentral.